Molecule: non-coding RNA, 114 nt
Filed under: Caloramator mitchellensis
Lineage: Bacteria; Bacillati; Bacillota; Clostridia; Eubacteriales; Clostridiaceae
Description: FMN sequence
Rfam family: FMN riboswitch aptamer (RFN element)
About the family: The RFN element is a highly conserved domain that is found frequently in the 5'-untranslated regions of prokaryotic mRNAs that encode for flavin mononucleotide (FMN) biosynthesis and transport proteins. This element is a metabolite-dependent riboswitch that directly binds FMN in the absence of proteins.
Source: Rfam by way of RNAcentral
AAUAAUCUUCAGGGCGGGGUGCAAGUCCCCACCGGCGGUAAAGCCCGCGAGCCGAAAGGUUGACUCGGUGAAAUUCCGAGGCCGACAGUAUAGUCUGGAUGGGAGAAGAUUAAA